CUCCUACGGGAGGCAGCAGUGGGGAAUAUUGCACAAUGGGGGAAACCCUGAUGCAGCGACGCCGCGUGAGCGAUGAAGGCCUUCGGGUCGUAAAGCUCUGUCCUAAGGGAAGAUAAUGACGGUACCUUAGGAGGAAGCCCCGGCUAACUACGUGCCAGCAGCCGCGGUAAUACGUAGGGGGCGAGCGUUGUCCGGAAUUACUGGGCGUAAAGGGUGCGUAGGCGGCCUUGUAAGUCAGAUGUUAAAGCCCUCGGCUUAACCGAGGUAAGCAUUUGAAACUGCAGGGCUUGAGUACAGGAGAGGAGAGUGGAAUUCCUAGUGUAGCGGUGAAAUGCGUAGAUAUUAGGAAGAACACCAGUGGCGAAGGCGACUCUCUGGACUGUAACUGACGCUGAGGCACGAAAGCGUGGGGAGCGAACAGGAUUAGAUACCCUGGUAGUCCACGCUGUAAACGAUGAGUGCUAGGUGUUGGGGGAGACAUCCUUCAGUGCCGCAGUUAACACAAUAAGCACUCCGCCUGGGGAGUACGGUCGCAAGACUGAAACUCAAAGG
RNAcentral lists this ribosomal RNA (552 nucleotides) under uncultured bacterium. Its description in RNAcentral is "bacterial SSU rRNA". It matches the Rfam family "Bacterial small subunit ribosomal RNA", at positions 336 to 907 of the family's 1533-position model. The record is from RNAcentral.